AUGAAUAUUAAUUAAUAACAAUGUCUGGAAUAUGGACGUUUGAACUCAUUAAACAAUCAGUAUUAACUGCAAAAACAUGUCGGGAUCCCAAAGUCAAAUGCUGUGCAAUUUUCUAAAAUCAAUCCAAGUAAAGCUUAAUUGUAGUGAUCAUACUAAACGAAAUCCAAUCCAUGUACACCAACUAUGAUCCUAACUCAUCCAUUUUUGUCUUACAAACCACAUUUAAAUGCGGAUUAGACAUGCAUAAAACUAAGAGAUCAUACUACUACUUCAACCAAAGACAUGACUCAAAUCACCCCUUCAAAUCGAGCUCUUUCCUUUCUCGUCACAUUUCUCGAUUCCUUUUCCCUUGCUAAAAGUCAUGUGCAACGAAAUGUCGACGCCGCAUUUCUCGCUAAUUCUGGCUAGCCCAUCAAAUAAUCUUGGAAGCUCUUCGUCUUCCUUGUUGGGCUCCUCAUUGACCGUAUCAUUAAUAGAACUCGAAUCCCCGCCUAAAGCUUCAUCUUUCACCCAAUCGAAGUACUCACAGUAAUCGCUACAAGUAAAGAACAAUCGGCCUUUGUUCCCGAUGUCCCGUUCCACCUCAAAACAUUUUCGAUAUCCAUGGUCACAACUAGGGCAGCGACGCCUUAACUGGCAUUUUUCGAAGUAGUGCGCUUUGUUUCUGCAACUGUGACGGACCUAAAGUUCCUUCCUCUCUUUAUAGCCGAUUACUGCAAAUGAAAUCAAAAAGAUAGAAAAUCUCAUUGUAGUUACAUGAUUGAUUAUAAAUAAAUAAGAUUGAAUGUAGGAUAAACACAAACUGAUGGGUUCAUUUACUGUUAAAAUAUAUCACCACAACUACAGAACCCAGAAGAAACAUGUACAGGAUUGGGAAAGCAAAGGAUGGUCGGGAUUAUAUUUCAACUGCAAGUCUUCC
This 919-nucleotide long non-coding RNA is filed under the name Olea europaea subsp. europaea. The record is from RNAcentral. Lineage: Eukaryota; Viridiplantae; Streptophyta; Magnoliopsida; Lamiales; Oleaceae.